AAGAACGCAGCGAAAUGCGAUACGUAGUGUGAAUUGCAGAAUUCCGCGAAUCAUCGAGUCUUUGAACGCAAGUUGCGCCCGAGGCUUGUCCAAGGGCAUUUCCGCUAGAGCGUCACCGCGCCCCCCACCGAUCCACUCUCGCCGCGAGGCUUUAGUCGGGUCGAGUGAAAGUGGCCGUCCCGGUUGACGAAGUGGCCUUCGCCACGCUCGGAAGCUGGGUCGGCUGAAAUGGAUGGAAUUGGGCCGCCGUGGUGACACAGUCCGCGAUCGGGUGAUUUCGUCGCGAGCCUCCUCCGGGAGGUUCUCGGUGAAUUUUUCUAAGUGCUUGGCUGCGUCCCCCAGUUGGCUUUGGUUACCUCAUGCAGGUCGAGCGCGCCCCCGCGGCGCGCGUCACGCAUCAGACCUCUAAUCGGAAAAGACUACCCGCUGAGUUUAAGCAUAUCAAUAA
Molecule: ribosomal RNA, 448 nt
Filed under: Kindbergia praelonga
Lineage: Eukaryota; Viridiplantae; Streptophyta; Bryopsida; Hypnales; Brachytheciaceae
Description: eukaryotic LSU rRNA
Rfam family: 5.8S ribosomal RNA (bases 1-115)
Source: RNAcentral